GGAAGCGUGCCUGAAAUUAAAGGGCUACUUUGAUAGAGUAGAUUAUAGAGGCUCACCCCUCUCACUUCCC
RNAcentral lists this transfer RNA (70 nucleotides) under Emoia caeruleocauda. Its description in RNAcentral is "tRNA-Ile". Lineage: Eukaryota; Metazoa; Chordata; Lepidosauria; Squamata; Scincidae. The record is from RNAcentral.